GAAAAGGCCAAUUAAAGCAGGUUCAUUGCUCCCAGCAAUACCUAGUGCUAUUUUUUAGACAUUCACAGCGCUGGCUCAGGAUCGAUAUCUUCAUCCUGUGUGCGUGUGUGUUUAAGAGAAUUGUUGUGAAUAUCUAACAGGAAAUUUGCUUUUUUCCUCCGAAUAUUUUAUGGGAGAAUCCUUGGUUCCAGUCAGAGGGGAAAGUGUGCUAAGAGGUUGCCGUGGUUCAGCUACAAGUCCACAACUGUAGCCAUCCCCAUCACUCCCGUAUACACACACACAUAUAAUGUGUGGUCGAUGGAGGCACUCUGACUGUGAAGAACAGGUGUAAAAUGUGCUGCUGCUAAACGCCUCUCCACAUAUCCCAAAGGAAAUGCAGCCUCUGCACUCUCCCUUACCCUGUGUGUUCACAUCCGUAGGCCAUACAAAAUG
Molecule: long non-coding RNA, 432 nt
Organism: Gasterosteus aculeatus aculeatus (three-spined stickleback)
Lineage: Eukaryota; Metazoa; Chordata; Actinopteri; Perciformes; Gasterosteidae
Source: Ensembl